CCUACGGGUGGCAGCAGUGGGGAAUAUUGCACAAUGGGGGAAACCCUGAUGCAGCGACGCCGCGUGGGUGACGAAGUAUUUCGGUAUGUAAAGCCCUAUCAGCAGGGAAGAAGAUGACAGUACCUGACCAAGAAGCCCCGGCUAACUACGUGCCAGCAGCCGCGGUAAUACGUAGGGGGCAAGCGUUAUCCGGAUUUACUGGGUGUAAAGGGAGCGUAGGUGGCAUGGCAAGCCAGAAGUGAAAACCCGGGGCUUAACCCCGCGGAUUGCUUUUGGAACUGUCAGGCUGGAGUGCAGGAGGGGCAGGCGGAAUUCCUGGUGUAGCGGUGAAAUGCGUAGAUAUCAGGAGGAACACCGGUGGCGAAGGCGGCCUGCUGGACUGUAACUGACACUGAGGCUCGAAAGCGUGGGGAGCAAACAGGAUUAGAUACCCCGGUAGUC
Molecule: ribosomal RNA, 441 nt
Filed under: uncultured bacterium
Lineage: Bacteria
Description: partial 16S ribosomal RNA
Rfam family: Bacterial small subunit ribosomal RNA
Source: RNAcentral